This 903-nucleotide ribosomal RNA is filed under the name Triticum aestivum (bread wheat). RNAcentral describes it as "partial small subunit ribosomal RNA". The record is from RNAcentral. Lineage: Eukaryota; Viridiplantae; Streptophyta; Magnoliopsida; Poales; Poaceae.
AUGCAUCUAGUUCAUCAUGAUCGAAAUUAUAUAUAUAAUUUUUGGCCUCGUGAAGGAGAAAGUAUCGCUCUAGCUUGGGGGAGGCUUAAGUCAAUGUUUUAUUCAUGCCCCAAUCAUGAGCUCUCAAGAGAAAUUAUUAUUGAGAAUUUUUAUGCUCGGCUUUCUCGUAAUGAUCAAACCAUGCUCGAUACUUCUUGUACUGGUUCUUUUAUGAAGAAGACUAUUGAAUUCCGGUGGGAUCUUUUAGAAAGAAUUAAGUGCAACUCUGAAGAUUGGGAACUCGACGAAGGUAACGAGUCAGGUAUUGAACCUAAGUUUGAUUGUGUUAAAUCUUUUAUGAAUACCGAAGCUUUUCAAAAGUUUAGCACUAAAUAUGGACUUGACUCUGAGAUAGUAGCUUCCUUCUGUGAAUCUUUUGCUACUCAUGUUGAUCUCCCUAAGGAUACGUGGUUUAAAUAUCACCCACCAAUUAAAGAAGAAAUUAAAGAACCGGUAAAAGCUAAAGAAGAAACUAUCAUUUACAAUGUUGAUCCAGUUGUUCCUACUGCUUAUAUUGAAAACCCACAUUUCCCUGUUAGGAUGAAGGAACAUGCUAAAGCUUCAACUGUGGUUAACAAAAGUUAUGUUAGAACACCCAAACCAUCUGAACAAAUCAGAGUUGAACCUAAUGUUGCUAUGGUUAAAGAUCUCUUAGUUGAUAAUAUUGACGGACAUGUUAUUUACUUCUGUGGUGAAGCUUCUAGAAUUGCCAAACCUGAAGGAAAAGAUAAACAUAGACCAGUUGUUGGCAUGCAUGUUGUCUCAGUUAAGAUAGGAGAUCACUGUUAUCAUGGGUUAUGUGACCUAGGUGCCAGUGUGAUGCUAUUCCUUAUUCCUUAUAUGAAGAAAUUAAAGAUGAAGUAG